Molecule: ribosomal RNA, 490 nt
Filed under: uncultured bacterium
Lineage: Bacteria
Description: partial 16S ribosomal RNA
Rfam family: Bacterial small subunit ribosomal RNA
Source: RNAcentral
AUUGAACGCUGGCGGCAGGCCUAACACAUGCAAGUCGAACGGUAACAGGAAGAAGCUUGCUUCUUUGCUGACGAGUGGCGGACGGGUGAGUAAUGUCUGGGAAACUUCCUGAUGGAGGGGGAUAACUACUGGAAACGGUAGCUAAUACCGCAUAAUGUCGCAAGACCAAAGAGGGGGACCUUCGGGCCUCUUGCCAUCGGAUGUGCCCAGAUGGGAUUAGCUAGUAGGUGGGGUAACGGCUCACCUAGGCGACGAUCCCCAGCUGGUCUGAGAGGAUGACCAGCCACACUGGAACUGAGACACGGUCCAGACUCCUACGGGAGGCAGCAGUGGGGAAUAUUGCACAAUGGGCGCAAGCCUGAUGCAGCUAUGCCGCGUGUAUGAAGAAGGCCUUCGGGUUGUAAAGUACUUUCAGCGGGGAGGAAGGGAGUAAAGUUAAUACCGUUGCUCAUUGACGUUACCCGCAGAAGAAGCACCGGCUAACUCCGUG